Triticum aestivum (bread wheat) is the source of this 4843-nucleotide long non-coding RNA. RefSeq lists it as uncharacterized. The transcript is spliced from 12 exons. The record is from RefSeq and is a predicted model, not a curated record. Lineage: Eukaryota; Viridiplantae; Streptophyta; Magnoliopsida; Poales; Poaceae.
AAAAUACGGCAGCAAACAGACCACAGGCGCUCGUCUCCUCUACCUCUCGCCCACGAACUCCUCGCCGCCGCCGCCACCUGCGUCGGCCGCUUCCGGCGACCUCCGACGCCGUGCAGCACGCUCCCGAGCUCCUCACGGUCCGAGCCUCCCUCCCCUCCGACCAGAUUCUCCGCUCCCGUCCUCUACCGCCCGCUUGCAACCCCACCCACGUGGCUAGGGUUCCGGGCAGGGCUUCGCCGGCUCGUCUCCGGCGGCCCCAGGGGAUAGGUCGCUUCCGCGGUGGGGCGGGUGAGCUGGGAGCUGGUAAGGCAUACGCCCUUGCCGACGAGGAGUUCUCUCUCUAGGGAGAGAGCAGAGGGCAUGCUGGACGCUGUUGCUGUUAUUUGGCUCAUCGUCGUAUUGCAAGUUUCUGACAUCGCUGUACACUGUUGACGUCGCCGGAAAUCCGUCUGCACGUACUCCACUGUCCGCCGGAACUUUGUCCGACCUGAGACCAAUGCUAUAUGGUUCCACUCUACCCUGGCUAGGCCCACGAGAGCCUGCAAGCCGGCGGCAGCAGGGAUGGCCGGAUAGAGCCGCAUGGACUCAAUGACUCAGAGGAGGAUCGGAGGGGGUGGCCUGUACGUGGAGGAUGAUUCACACACGAGCUGGCACGCCCAACAAAUGCAUUAGUUUGGCUCUUGCACUAGAGAAUGACAGAUGGUGUAUACUGACAGAGGGGGAAGAAUUCUGCAGCAUACUGUGCAAGAUCUUUAUUUACACCAAGGAGGAGGUCCAGAAGAUGAAUUCGAAAUCAUCCUGUACCCAAGAAAGGAGGAAGUUCCAUGGAUGGUGAUUGUGCAAACAAGAAGGCACAUCUCACACAUCAUGCAAUUUAGAUAACUAACUAACUAGUAUUCAAUUCUUCUUUACCGGGUUGCUGUUCCCGUUCAGCAGCGGUUGCACCUUCUACAACAGUGAGCCCGAGCGGCAUCAGAUUCAGAUUGUCCCAUGAAGGUUUCGAGAUGGAGGCCUGUGAGGAGGAUUUCAGGGGAGAUCAUACUAUGACUAUGACAAGAGGCUGAGAUUUGACUUGCACUGUAUUGAAAAGCAGGUUCAGGAGCUCCAAGCCAAUAAACGCCAGAGCUUUGAAAAAGAUGAUGCGUUAAUAUUUUAUCAUCAUGUGACCUAUUAAUUUUGAACCGUCCGGCCACACAUUUAUUCCAAAUCGCAUAUAUGGCAUCCGAGAAGGAAGAAUCUGAGCGGGAAGUACUACACGACGAUUCUUGAGAGGAACAAGUCGACGAGGACACCAAUGAUGAUAACUCUAUCGUCGUUCUGCACCCGGACAACAUGGAUAAGAUGCAACUCUUUCUUGGCUGUGAAUCGGUCGAUGGUUGACAAGAACACCAAUGGCGACACUCAUUGUGGCUUUACACUCGGACACCAUGGACAUGUUGUAGCUCUUCCGUGGCGAGGGAUGCACUGCCUAUUCUAUUCUCCAUCACGUCCAAUAGAAAGCAAGGGACGGGUAGUUUGAUCCUUAACGGUUUCAUGUUUUCUCUCCAGUUGAAACGCACAUGCUUUGAUGGUGGCGCUCUCUCGAGGAAGGUAGCUAAAGUUUUUGGCAAGAGUCUGUCCCAUCUUUUAUUGUAUAUCAAUGUACUAUUGGUUGAGCAAACAGCAAAGCAAGGCAGAAGAUGAUGAACAUGAAAAUGUGGGUAAAAGGAAGUCCAAUAUUCUUUCUGCUACAAGUACAGAAAGGAAUGGGAUAGAACUGUAAAUUCUGGCAUGAAGUAGGAUGAGUAUGCUAUUGUCGUGUAGUGCAAGCCUGGGUGGUUGGGAGAUGAUGCACACAGACAUGUGGAGACAAUGCGAUCCACCAAGGCGGAAGCUCAUCAAACGGAUAGGGUUAGCUUCAAAGACGAAGAAGUCCGAUGCUUUUCCCCUGCCGGACAUCCUUAAUGCCGUCCAUGCGGUUUAGACCUUACAAAGUGUAAUUUUUUUCUCCCGUUGCAACGCACGGGCUUUUUUGCUAGUUAAUUUUAAUUUUUAAUUUCUUUCCCUACUAAUAAACCAGCGAUCGCUUCUGGUCGUCCGUCAUCAGGCAUUUUGCAAAGAAGUCCCUCAAUUUGUCAGAAUUCCCUAUCCCUAUAUAUAUAUACUAAUAAACCAGCGAUCGCUUCUGGUCGUUCGUCAUCAGGCAUUUUGCAAAGAAGUCCCUCAAUUUGUCAGAAUUCAACCCGCAGUCCUAUCUUAAGUGGAUAUCUGAGAAAACGUUUCAAUUUUGCACAAAACACCCUGGCGUUUGGAGUAUUCAACGCGCGGUCCGAGCAGCUUUGUAAAGAGAAAAAAACACAACCACACACGCAUGGGCUCGACUCCUCUCCCUCUCGCCCACGAAGUCACCGCCGCCGCCGCCCACGCCGGCCGCUUCCGGCGAGCUCCGGCGCUGCGCAGCACAGCCCCGAGCUCCCCAUGCUCCGCGCCUCCCUCCCCUCCGGCCAGAUUCUCAUCUCCUGGCCUCUACCGCCCGCUCGCAACCACACCCCCGUGGCUAGGGUUCCGGGCAGUGCUUCGCCGGUGCGUCUCCGGCGGCCCCAGAUGCAGAUGGAGCACGCCAUGGGAGUUCCCCAUCCACCAUGGUCGCUGUCGUCAAGGGCUUCUCCAAGGAGAUGUGAAGGACGCCAUCGACCUGCAGCUACUCAAGGUCUCAAGCGGCGACAGUACCCGGCAACACGAGUACAGGGAGUGUUUUUACUGGUUACGUCCAAAGUGGAGAACUAAGAACAACAGCCUCAAGGAAACUAUACGGAGAGAGCUAGGAGGAUUGGUUUCCAGUCCAGGAGUGAGCUCAUGUCUUUUGAUUUGAAAUGAAACGCCCACUGGGAGAGGUCUGCAGCUGCUGCUUUCGUGAGGCUGGUCAUGGAGGGGCGCAUGCCCUGAGGUGGGUGGGUGUUAGCUAUGACGAGAAAACAUAUGAAGUUUCUGCUAUUGUUAAGCCUGAUGUCGAAGAGUUGGAAAUGAUUUGUGAAUCUCUGUGCACGUAAAUGGAACAUUGGACAAGUUAAGCCAUGUGUAUUCCAUCUCCUUUAAUAUAUUGCUUGUGAUUGGCCUAAUAGAGAGUCUGCAAGACGUGAUUUGUACUCAAAGCAUCUCAUCCAGAUCACUUUACAAUACUUUUCUUCAUAUCUAGAAAAUGCAUGUAUGCAUAUAAGUUUCGUGAACAAUUUUUUUGAAUAUCCAGGUCACUUUAUGCAUAUCCAGAUCACUUUACAAACAGAACAAAUGCGUGUAUUCCUUUUUCAUCAUAUCCAUAUCUAGAAAAGCAUUCCUCCAUGUAAUAGGGUUUUUGAAAGCAGUAUGCAUAUAUGUUUCGUGAACAAUUUUUUUUUGUUAUUGCAACCAUAAGAAAGAAUCUUACUGGAUUGUCCUGGAAAAUAUUAGUCAUCUAUUGCCGAUAACUAGAUCCGUGUUAACUCAAUAGGGUGAUCUAGCGAGUUAUCUUGAGACAAAAAGUCGCCUGCGAUCUUAUAAAGUGAUCAGAUUUGCCCCUGAGACUGCAAGGUAUGUUAGGAUUCAUAACAUAUGUAUCUUCUUUUCCUAUUUUUUUCCUUUUAAAGCUGUAACUACCAUUUGAGAAUUGACUUAAACUGCUCGCAUUAGUGCAUCAUUUUGUAUUCACCUGAAAAUAAUGUAGCAUUGACUGAAACUGCUCACCAUUUGAAGUAUUGACUGAAACACUACCAUUGAAGUAUUUUCUUUAUUUUUUUGACUAGAAAAGCAUGAAGAUGAAUUAAGUUGAUUCAUGUAGAUGAAAUGGUUUUCCAUUUCCAUUUGUGUCGUUUCAGUGAAACAAAAUGAUAUUGCAGCUCUUUUCAUUUAUGUCUUGUUUCAUUGCAUUAUUAUCUUCCAUGAUUUCUUUUUCACCAAUACAUUUUGUUGCAUAUAUGGAGGCCAUCUACUUUUCUGCUGAUAUUUGUUAUUAUAUCAUCUUGUUUGCGAACUUAAAAAGGUCCCUCAAAGAGAAGCGUUUUUCAUGUGCUCCUGAAUCUGGUGUGCGGUAUGAUGGAGUUUACAGAUUGAGAACUGUUGGAGGAAGACUGGUAUUCAGCGCCGUUGGCCGCUCUGCCUACCGAGUGCCACCCCGCCGCCUCCUCCCACCCCCCACCUGGGACCUCACCGCCUGCUCCCCGCCCGGCACACCCACAACGCUUGAGGCUGAGCAGAUGCCAUUGGCCCGUGGGCACGGAAGCAGAGUCCAGGAUGGUGAUGGUGCCAAGGAGGACUCUCGGACGUCGACCGGUUGCAUCGUUGCUGCCGUAUCCAUGGAGUGGCGGCUCCAACCACUCUGAGAUGGCUCAUCAAUGGCAUCAUACGACUCGUAACACCACCGACUUGAUCACAAAUCAGUCGUUGGUUGCAUGCCGUAGCACUAUCAGUUCCUUGUGGUGAUCGUGGUUACUGUUUGUUUGUGGUGCAGAGGAAUCAGUACAACAACAGAACUUGAAGCUGACAAGGAUGGAUGAUGGUUGGUUUUGGUGGAGAGAUCGGGUGCAUAUGAACAACCUAUUAUCUUCCUUUUUUGUUUUUCAUCAUUCAACGGGACAAUUUCCUAAUUCUUUUUUAGUACUGUCUGAAAAGGUUAUUAGUACAUAUAGGUUUGUCAAAAUUUAUUAGCACAUAUGAGGUUCUUUGUUUGGACCCCCUUUGGCUCUACAUAAUUCUUUGGAGUGGGAUUCUAGAUAGAUGCUUUUAUUGAUUUUCUCCCAUUGCAACGUACGGGUAUGUUUACUGUAAUAAUAAAGUCAGAAGGAGAAGGGCGAGGUCCAGAUGGAGCUCUACCAGUUCCGCCGCUUUUAUA